AAUCAGCGAGGACUUGGGCCAGGUUGAGUACAUUUUGACUGACAAAACUGGUACUCUAACAGAAAAUAAGAUGAUCUUUAGAAGGUGCUGUAUCAGUGGCAUUUUCUAUGGAAAUGAGACAGGAGAUGCCUUAAAAGAUGCAAGGUUGCUCAAUGCUGUUGCAAGCGGUUCUUCUGAUGUUAUACGGUUCCUUACAAUAAUGGCAAUAUGUAAUACAGUAAUACCAGUACAGAGGUGAUUUUGCUUCUAUAUGUAUUUUUUUUUUCUGUUUUUGAUGGUUUUACAAUCUUUUGAUUUUCCCAUAGAUUAAGAAGACUACCAUUUAUUGUGAUAGCAUGUAGGAGAUAUGAAAGAAAAAUAAAUGCAAUUAUUUACGGAUUCUGAUCUUUGCAUAUUUCUUUUGCUCUUUGUAGCAAAAGUGGUGAUAUCAUGUACAAGGUGCAGUCCCAGGAUGAGGAUGUACUUGUCCAAGCUGCUGCUCAAUUCCAUAUGGUUUUCUUCAAUAAAAGUGGAAAUAUUCUUGAGAUCAAGUUCAAUGCUUCUACACUUCGAUAUGAGGUUUUGGAAACUCUGGAGUUUACUUCGGAUAGGAAAAGAAUGUCAAUUGUGGUGAAGGAUUGCCAGAAUGGGAAUAUUAUUCUUUUAUCAAAGGGUGCAGAUGAAGCAAUUCUUCCGUAUG
Long non-coding RNA from Humulus lupulus (European hop), 679 nucleotides. RefSeq lists it as uncharacterized. NCBI's taxonomy places the organism in Eukaryota, Viridiplantae, Streptophyta, Magnoliopsida, Rosales, Cannabaceae. The transcript is spliced from 3 exons. The record is from RefSeq and is a predicted model, not a curated record.